GUCUUCAUGGCGCAGUUGGUUUAGCGCGUUGGUCUCAUAACGUCUUGUUAAUGAUCAGAUGAAUGAUCUGGCCAUCCAAAGGUCGCGAGUUCGAGUCUCGCUGAGGACA
RNAcentral lists this transfer RNA (109 nucleotides) under Metarhizium album ARSEF 1941. It matches the Rfam family "tRNA". From Rfam's summary of the family: Transfer RNA (tRNA) molecules are approximately 80 nucleotides in length. Lineage: Eukaryota; Fungi; Ascomycota; Sordariomycetes; Hypocreales; Clavicipitaceae. The record is from Rfam by way of RNAcentral.